Molecule: ribosomal RNA, 490 nt
Filed under: uncultured bacterium
Lineage: Bacteria
Description: partial 16S ribosomal RNA
Rfam family: Bacterial small subunit ribosomal RNA
Source: RNAcentral
AUUGAACGCUGGCGGCAGGCCUAACACAUGCAAGUCGAACGGGAACAGGAAGCAGCUUGCUGCUUUGCUGACGAGUGGCGGACGGGUGAGUAAUGUCUGGGAAACUGCCCGAUGGAGGGGGAUAACUACUGGAAACGGUAGCUAAUACCGCAUAACGUCGCAAGACCAAAGAGGGGGCCCUUAGGGCCCCUGGCCAUAGGAUGUGCCCAGAUGGGAUCAGCUAGUAGGUGGGGUAACGGCUCACCUAGGCGACGCUCCCUAGCUGGUCUGAGAGGAUGACCAGCCACACUGGAACUGAGACACGGUCCAGACUCCUGCGGGAGGCAGCAGUGGGGAAUAUUGCACGAUGGGCGCAAGCGUGAUGCAGCCAUGCCGCGUGUAUGAUGAAGGCCUUCGGGUUGUAAAGUACUGUCAGCGGGGAGGAAGGGAGUAAAGUUAAUACCGUUGCUCAUUGACGUUACCCGCAGAAGAAGCACCGGCUAACUCCGUG